UACGUAGGAUCCAAGCGUUAUCCGGAUUUAUUGGGUUUAAAGGGUGCGUAGGCGGCUUAUUAAGUCAGGGGUGAAAGACGGUGGCUCAACCAUCGCAGUGCCCUUGAUACUGAUGAGCUUGAAUACACUUGAGGUAGGCGGAAUGUGACAAGUAGCGGUGAAAUGCAUAGAUAUGUCACAGAACACCAAUUGCGAAGGCAGCUUACUAAGGUGCAAUUGACGCUGAGGCACGAAAGCGUGGGGAUCAAACAGG
This 253-nucleotide ribosomal RNA is filed under the name uncultured bacterium. RNAcentral describes it as "partial 16S ribosomal RNA". It matches the Rfam family "Bacterial small subunit ribosomal RNA", at positions 524 to 776 of the family's 1533-position model. The record is from RNAcentral.